UGAUGUUCUUCAUGACGGCGUUGUGGAUUCAGCGUGAUUGACGGCGGUUCGUGGAUUCGGAUCGUGAGCUUUGUGGAUUCGGAGUGGAGGCGUUUCGUGGAUUCGGAACGUGGCGUUCGUGGAUUCAGACGUGAGGGCAUGGACAACCCAGAGGAUUACGCGAGAUUUAUAGGAGGUUAAGAGAGGUCGAGUCGGUAGAGUCGGUAAUCACUUUGUAAUCUUUUCUCUUAGUGAAUUAUUUUUUCGC
Molecule: long non-coding RNA, 247 nt
Filed under: Ananas comosus (pineapple)
Lineage: Eukaryota; Viridiplantae; Streptophyta; Magnoliopsida; Poales; Bromeliaceae
Description: long non-coding RNA (ACOM_LNC042284)
Source: RNAcentral